GGGCCCGCACAAGCGGUGGAGCAUGUGGUUUAAUUCGAUGCAACGCGAAGAACCUUACCUACUCUUGACAUCCAGAGAACUUUUCAGAGAUGAAUUGGUGCCUUCGGGAACUCUGAGACAGGUGCUGCAUGGCUGUCGUCAGCUCGUGUUGUGAAAUGUUGGGUUAAGUCCCGCAACGAGCGCAACCCUUAUCCUUGUUUGCCAGCGAGUAAUGUCGGGAACUCCAGGGAGACUGCCGGUGAUAAACCGGAGGAAGGUGGGGACGACGUCAAGUCAUCAUGGCCCUUACGAGUAGGGCUACACACGUGCUACAAUGGCAAGUACAACGAGUCGCAAUACCGCGAGGUGGAGCAAAUCUCUUAAAGCUUGUCUCAGUUCGGAUAGGAGUCUGCAACUCGACUCCUUGAAGUUGGAGUCGCUAG
This 422-nucleotide ribosomal RNA is filed under the name uncultured bacterium. RNAcentral's name for it is "bacterial SSU rRNA". It matches the Rfam family "Bacterial small subunit ribosomal RNA", at positions 917 to 1338 of the family's 1533-position model. The record is from RNAcentral.